UGCGGUGUCGAGGAAGGUGCCACCCGAUUCGGCGAAUCGGUCGAAGAUCCGGCGGGCGUCGUCCGGCUCGGCUCCGGCGCCCCAGCC
Molecule: transfer RNA, 87 nt
Filed under: Streptomyces griseus
Lineage: Bacteria; Bacillati; Actinomycetota; Actinomycetes; Kitasatosporales; Streptomycetaceae
Description: tRNA-Ala
Source: RNAcentral